Ribosomal RNA from Lepisosteus oculatus (spotted gar), 119 nucleotides. The record is from Ensembl. NCBI's taxonomy places the organism in Eukaryota, Metazoa, Chordata, Actinopteri, Semionotiformes, Lepisosteidae.
GCUUACGGCCACACCACCCUGAACACGCCCGAUCUCGUCUGAUCUCGGAAGCUAAGCAGGGUCGGGCCUGGUUAGUACUUGGAUGGGAGACCGCCUGGGAAUACCAGGUGCUGUAAGCU